GCCACAUGAUGAUCUCAUAGAUGGCAUUAGCGCUUUGUGCAAAGAUGACCUAUUAUCUAUCACCCUUGACUGAUGGCU
Small nucleolar RNA from Hucho hucho (huchen), 78 nucleotides. Its record names the gene SNORD83. It matches the Rfam family "Small nucleolar RNA SNORD83". From Rfam's summary of the family: U83 (SNORD83) and U84 (SNORD84) are members of the C/D class of snoRNA which contain the C (UGAUGA) and D (CUGA) box motifs. They act as guanine methylation guides but lack complementarity to ribosomal RNA. U83 and U84 are spliced from introns 5 and 4 of the BAT1 gene in mammals. The record is from Ensembl. Lineage: Eukaryota; Metazoa; Chordata; Actinopteri; Salmoniformes; Salmonidae.